AUCAAUAUUGUAGAGGGUUUUUUAAAUAGUUUUUGUUUUGUUCUGUUUUUCUUUCCAGUUCUAACCAGUGAAGAAAAAGGGAGAUAAAGCAAGGCUGGCAGAUUGGUGGUAUGCAGCUGAGCAAAGACUGACGUCAUCAGGGCGUCGAUGCUGACAUGUUUGUGAGCACCGGCGGAAGUGACGCAGUUUUAGCUUUCUCUACGCAAGGACGGGGAACAGCGCGGGGAAACCAACUUGCUGUCUCUACGAAAAACAUCAUCUGGAAGUUAACGUGCUAAACACGUUUUAGCAAGGUUCAAUUUAAGAGAACCAGAAAAAAAAAA
Molecule: long non-coding RNA, 323 nt
Organism: Aplysia californica (California sea hare)
Lineage: Eukaryota; Metazoa; Mollusca; Gastropoda; Aplysiida; Aplysiidae
Exons: 2
Source: RefSeq, a predicted model, not a curated record